CGAGCCGCUGGCGGCGUGCCUAAUACAUGCAAGUCGAACGCUUCUUUCCUCCCGAGUGCUUGCACUCAAUUGGAAAGAGGAGUGGCGGACGGGUGAGUAACACGUGGGUAACCUACCCAUCAGAGGGGGAUAACACUUGGAAACAGGUGCUAAUACCGCAUAACAGUUUAUGCCGCAUGGCAUAAGAGUGAAAGGCGCUUUCGGGUGUCGCUGAUGGAUGGACCCGCGGUGCAUUAGCUAGUUGGUGAGGUAACGGCUCACCAAGGCCACGAUGCAUAGCCGACCUGAGAGGGUGAUCGGCCACACUGGGACUGAGACACGGCCCAGACUCCUACGGGAGGCAGCAGUAGGGAAUCUUCGGCAAUGGACGAAAGUCUGACCGAGCAACGCCGCGUGAGUGAAGAAGGUUUUCGGAUCGUAAAACUCUGUUGUUAGAGAAGAACAAGGACGUUAGUAACUGAACGUCCCCUGACGGUAUCUAACCAGAAAGCCACGGCUAACUACGUGCCAGCAGCCGGGC
Molecule: ribosomal RNA, 520 nt
Filed under: Enterococcus faecalis
Lineage: Bacteria; Bacillati; Bacillota; Bacilli; Lactobacillales; Enterococcaceae
Description: bacterial SSU rRNA
Rfam family: Bacterial small subunit ribosomal RNA
Source: RNAcentral